AUAAGUUGUAGAAUGAAUGAAUUCACGUGUUUGUUAUGAAUGAAAAGUAGUUCCGUCACAACGUCACCUAACUGAGGGGUCAUCGGUUUUCCAGUCAAAUUGUUAGAAUCACAGGUCAAGUCGUUACGACACAGGUCAACGCGAUACGGCACUCUUGUGACGUACGACAUUAGUAUGCAACUUCCCAUACGUUGACCACGUGGGUAAUAAAUAUCAUAUUAUAUGUAUGUCCAUGCCAC
This is a long non-coding RNA of Haliotis rubra (blacklip abalone), 239 nucleotides long. RefSeq lists it as uncharacterized. The record is from RefSeq and is a predicted model, not a curated record. Lineage: Eukaryota; Metazoa; Mollusca; Gastropoda; Lepetellida; Haliotidae. The transcript is spliced from 3 exons.